CAGUGUUCGAGUCUCAGCUCAGUUUAAUGUUUUUAAAUGAGCAUUUUUUUUUUCCUGGUUUUUGACCAGCAACAGCUGUCACAGGUCAUCCAUUAACUUAGGCAUACCUUGGUCAGUUAAGAUGUCUUUGAGGAUCCCCACCUGGCUGAACAUGAGCACAAGUUCUCUGGCGAUUGUCCGGGAGGUGGCCUUUCAAAGGGAGACUGCCUCGGGGUACCUGGUGGCAUAGUUGUGGAUCACAAGGAUAUAUUUGUGGCCCCGGGCAGACUUUGGGAGCAGCCCAACCAGAUCCAUGCCCACCCUCUUGAAGCAGACGCCAAUAAUGGGGAGAGGGGUGCGGGCGGUGGUCCUUGGGGCACUGUUUGUUGAUACUGGGGGCACAGCUGGCAGAAGGCCCGAAUGUCGGCAUCCAUGCCGGGGCAGAGGAACUGAUCCCACAGCUUGUCCAAGGUGUUGUGGGCUCCGAGUUGGCCGUCAAGUAAUUGGCCCCGGUGCCAAGGAGGUCAUUGGACACCAGGAAGUAGUUGGCGGGGAGGUGCUGCUCAGGCUGCUGAUCCACGCCGUUGAUCAGAUGCACCUAGCCCCAGUAGUGCCUCAGUUGGGCGUCCUCCUUCUGUUUGCACCCAAAGUUCCCUUCCCAAGAGACCUGGUGAAAUACAGAGUAGACUGGAUUAGAUGUUAUGAGUGUCUCACCUGACGGGGUUCGUCCUGCGGCGUCCCCUUCUUCCUGGGCCAUGCAGUCCAGCUGGAACAGAUCUUUGACGGCUGGCCUCUUUUUCUGGCAGUGGUGGUUGUGGCUCUCGUGGCUGGUGCAGUGGGGAACCCCAGUCAGUCUCGUCCGAGCAGUAGUGACACCAGGAGCUUGAGGAUCAACCUGAUGAGGAGCGGCCACGUUCCACCUGGACUUCCCAAUUCUUUCAAACAUUUUUAGGGGAAAAUCCCUACAUCUGCAUGGUAAGUGGAUUUGUUUUAGCAAGUAGCCUAGUAAACUUGUCUAAAAUGUGUGCAUGUUGAAG
Molecule: long non-coding RNA, 1016 nt
Organism: Ictalurus punctatus (channel catfish)
Lineage: Eukaryota; Metazoa; Chordata; Actinopteri; Siluriformes; Ictaluridae
Source: Ensembl